CGGCGUGCUUAACACAUGCAAGUCGAACGAGACGAUUUUAGAAGCUUGCUUUUUAUUGAGUCGAGUGGCAAACGGGUGAGUAACGCGUAAGCAACCUGCCCUUCAGAUGGGGACAACAGCUGGAAACGGUUGCUAAUACCGAAUACGUUCUUUUUUGUCGCAUGGCAGAGGGAAGAAAGGGAGGCUCUUCGGAGCUUUCGCUAGAGGAUGGGCCUGCGUCUGAUUAGCUAGUUGGUGGGGUAACGGCCUACCAAGGCGAUGAUCAGUAGCCGGUCUGAGAGGAUGAACGGCCACAUUGGGACUGAGACACGGCCCAGACUCCUACGGGAGGCAGCAGUGGGGAAUCUUCCGCAAUGGGCGAAAGCCUGACGGAGCAAUGCCGCGUGAGUGAUGAAGGAAUUCGUUCCGUAAAGCUCUUUUGUUUAUGACGAAUGUGCAGAUUGUGAAUAAUGAUCUGUAAUGACGGUAGUAAACGAAUAAGCCACGGCUAACUACGUG
RNAcentral lists this ribosomal RNA (498 nucleotides) under uncultured bacterium. RNAcentral's name for it is "bacterial SSU rRNA". It matches the Rfam family "Bacterial small subunit ribosomal RNA", at positions 40 to 507 of the family's 1533-position model. The record is from RNAcentral.